Molecule: ribosomal RNA, 438 nt
Filed under: uncultured bacterium
Lineage: Bacteria
Description: partial 16S ribosomal RNA
Rfam family: Bacterial small subunit ribosomal RNA
Source: RNAcentral
CUACGGGAGGCAGCAGUGAGGAAUAUUGCACAAUGGGGGGAACCCUGAUGCAGCAACGCCGCGUGGAGGAUGGCGCAUUUCGGUGUGUAAACUCCUUUUAUAUGUCAAGAAAAUGACGGUAGCAUAUGAAUAAGCACCGGCUAACUCCGUGCCAGCAGCCGCGGUAAUACGGAGGGUGCAAGCGUUACUCGGAAUCACUGGGCGUAAAGGACGCGUAGGCGGGUUGGAAAGUCAGGUGUGAAAUCCUACAGCUUAACUGUAGAACUGCACUUGAAACUUCUAAUCUAGAGUAUGGGAGGGGGAGAUGGAAUUAGUGGUGUAGGGGUAAAAUCCGUAGAUAUCACUAGGAAUACCUAAAGCGAAGGCGAUCUCCUGGAACAUUACUGACGCUAAGGCGUGAAAGCGUGGGAGCAAACAGGAUUAGAUACCCCCGUAGUC